CGACUUGGAGGUUGUUCCCUUGAGGAGUGGCUUCCGGAGCUAACGCGUUAAGUCGACCGCCUGGGGAGUACGGCCGCAAGGUUAAAACUCAAAUGAAUUGACGGGGGCCCGCACAAGCGGUGGAGCAUGUGGUUUAAUUCAAUGCAACGCGAAGAACCUUACCUACUCUUGGCAUCCAGCGAAUUCGGCAGAGAUGCCUCAGUGCCUUCGGGAACGCUGAGACAGGUGCUGCAUGGCUGUCGUCAGCUCGUGUUGUGAAAUGUUGGGUUAAGUCCCGCAACGAGCGCAACCCUUAUCCUUUGUUGCCAGCACGUAAUGGUGGGAACUCAAAGGAGACUGCCGGUGAUAAACCGGAGGAAGGUGGGGAUGACGUCAAGUCAUCAUGGCCCUUACGAGUAGGGCUACACACGUGCUACAAUGGCGCAUACAAAGAGAAGCGACCUCGCGAGAGCAAGCGGAUCUCACAAAGUGCGUCGUAGUCCGGAUCGGAGUCUGCAACUCGACUCCGUGAAGUCGGAAUCGCUAGUAAUCGUGGAUCAGAAUGCCACGGUGAAUACGUUCCCGGGCCUUGUACACACCGCCCGUCACACCAUGGGAGUGGGUUGCAAAAGAAGUAGGUAGCUUAACCUUCGGGAGGGCGCUUACCACUUUGUGAUUCAUGACUGGGGUGAAGUCGUAACAAGGUAAC
RNAcentral lists this ribosomal RNA (688 nucleotides) under uncultured bacterium. RNAcentral describes it as "bacterial SSU rRNA". It matches the Rfam family "Bacterial small subunit ribosomal RNA", at positions 813 to 1500 of the family's 1533-position model. The record is from RNAcentral.